RNAcentral lists this ribosomal RNA (492 nucleotides) under uncultured bacterium. RNAcentral's name for it is "partial 16S ribosomal RNA". It matches the Rfam family "Bacterial small subunit ribosomal RNA", at positions 29 to 507 of the family's 1533-position model. The record is from RNAcentral.
AGUGAACGCUGGCGGUAGGCCUAACACAUGCAAGUCGAACGGAAGCACAGUAAGAGCUUGCUCUUAAGGGUGGCGAGUGGCGGACGGGUGAGGAAUAGAUAGGAAUCUAAUAUUACGUGGGGGAUAACGGAGGGAAAGAGACGCUAAUAGAGAAUAUGACGAACGGGAGAAAGCAGGGGAGAAUGGGAGCUUGCGCGAUUGAAUGAGACGAAGUCGCAUUAGCUAGUUGGCGGGGUAACGGAACACCAAGGCGACGAUCCGUAGCGGAUCUGAGAGGAUGAUCAGCCACACUGGAACUGAGACACGGUCCAGACUCCUACGGGAGGCAGCAGUAGGGAAUCUUGCACAAUGGGCGCAAGCCUGAUCCAGCCAUACCGCGUGAGUGAUGAAGGCCUUCGGGUUGUAAAGCCCUUUUGUUGGGAAAGAACAGCUGCAUGUUUAUCCCCCGCUGUUCUGACGGUACCCAAUCAAUAAGCCCCGGCUAACUUCGUG